This 1668-nucleotide long non-coding RNA is filed under the name Triticum aestivum (bread wheat). RNAcentral's name for it is "long non-coding RNA (TAES_LNC001721)". The record is from RNAcentral. Lineage: Eukaryota; Viridiplantae; Streptophyta; Magnoliopsida; Poales; Poaceae.
CUAGCAGCUUCUCGACUGUCAUCUUUGGCUGCUCAAAGGUCACUGGUCCGUCCCGCGAGUUCACAAGCUUCUUGCCAAUGUUCUCGAUACCGGUAGAGGUCACCCACUUGCGCACCUCGUCGUCGUACACCCGAGCACGCAGAGCACCGAAAAAGUCUGUGUAGGAUUGACCAUCCUUUGUUAAUACUAUACAACUUGAUUGCCCUGAUGAAUAUAUAUUAUCUCUGCGGUGCAGUUGUGAGGAACAUACCGAUGGAUUGUCCUGGGAAGGUGUCGACGAUCUUGACGACGGACUCGUCGCUGACAUUGUCGGUCUGGAAGAUACCCUUGCAGACACCGAUACGGUCGUCGCGGGUGGGAGCCCAGUAGAACUUCUCCAUACGACCAUCACGGAUGAGAGGGGCGUACAACGUUGAGAAAUCGUUACCAGUGACGACGAUGGGCACACGAGGGUUCUCCUCCUUGUUGUACAUGCCUGGGAGCUGCACGUUGGUGGGGGCAUCGGCGAUGUUCAUGAGGGUGGCGUUCACCAUCUGGUUGUUGACGGUGUACUGUGUGGUCCCGCCCAUCCGACCCGCACCGGCGUCAAGAUCGUUGAUGAAGAGGCAGCACAUCUUACCCUUCUUGAUCAUGUCUGCAGCCUCACGGUACCGCUGCCUGAUGAGCUUGGCUGGCUCUCCGGCGUUGCCACUCUCCAGCUCUCCGGCACUCAUCAUGAUUGGGCUGUGGUGAAAAGCACACGUCAUUAUCUAUUACUAGCACUGUGGCUUGAUGCAUCUAUGACUGUGUGACAGUAUGUAUAAUAGAUGAAUGUGAAUUCCUACUUGAUGCCCAUCUUGGCGAAGACAAGCUCACACUGGAAGGAUUUUCCUUGACCCUUGCCUCCCCAGAUACCCAAGAUGAGUGGGAUCUGAAUUUCGAUUCAAGGUCAGUUCCAGAAUCAGAAUGAUUUUCUUGCUGCUAAUCAAUAGUCAUGAUGCAUACCUUGAUGUUGGGCAGGGUCAUGAAGUUCUUGGAGAGAUGGACAACAAGCUUGUCCAUGAAAGCAGGAGCGAUGUAGAAGCCUCCCAUGGUGUUGUCGAAGUCGUACUUCUUGAGUCCCUGGCUGACGUACUCGUAGGAGCUGAGGACGGCCUCGUGGGUGCCGUCGCCCGUGGGCGCCUGGAAGAGGGAGUCCACGAUGCCCUUCCCUCUGGUGAUGUCCUGCUGGUCGUCGGAGAUAUCGUAGGCAAGACCCUUCCACUUGUCUGUGUUCCUCUUCUCGUCGAUGUUUUCCGCUGCCAUGACUGUGAACCUGUUGGCCUUGGAGCUCUUGCCAUGGUAGUUCACGGCCGAGGUCACCUGCUUCUUGAGCUUCUUCCCGAGGAAGUUGGUCGGCGUAGAAGCCUGUAUACAUUACACACACACACACAUGAGACGCCGUUGAAGACAUUGAUACGAUAUCAUCACUAAACAAGAGAUGCAAUCAAUCAAUUGAUCGAUCGAUCAGUGUGUCAUACGCACCGGGGCACCGACGGUGGAGGAGAAGGCAGCAGCCAUCUCGGUGCUGCUUGGUCGACCUUGCUAGCAACGGUGGAUGCGCGGCUGUGCUGGUGAUCAGCGAUGAAUGACCGCUGCUGCUCAAAGUAUAGAGGCCCAGCUAUGAGAUGCCUUAAAUACACAUGGAUU